RNAcentral lists this ribosomal RNA (584 nucleotides) under Inocephalus plicatus. RNAcentral describes it as "LSU rRNA". It matches the Rfam family "Eukaryotic large subunit ribosomal RNA", at positions 82 to 650 of the family's 3401-position model. Lineage: Eukaryota; Fungi; Basidiomycota; Agaricomycetes; Agaricales; Entolomataceae. The record is from RNAcentral.
AGUAACUGCGAGUGAAGCGGGAAGAGCUCAAAUUUAAAAUCUAAUAGUCUAUGACUGUUCGAGUUGUAAUCUAGAGAAGCACUAUCCGUGCUGGACCAUGUAUAAGUCUCCUGGAAUGGGGCGUCAUAGAGGGUGAGAAUCCCGUCUUUGACAUGGACUACCAGUGCAUUGUGAUGUGCUCUCAACGAGUCGAGUUGUUUGGGAAUGCAGCUCUAAAUGGGUGGUAAAUUCCAUCUAAAGCUAAAUAUUGGCGAGAGACCGAUAGCGAACAAGUACCGUGAGGGAAAGAUGAAAAGAACUUUGAAAAGAGAGUUAAACAGUACGUGAAAUUGUUGAAAGGGAAACGCUUAAAGUCAGUCACAUUGAUCAGGGAUCAACCUUGCUUUUGCUUGGUGUAUUUUCUGAUCAAUGGGUCAGCAUCAAUUUUAAUCAGUGGACAAAGGCUGAGGGAAUGUGGCAUCAUUUGAUGUGUUAUAGCCCUCUGUCAUAUACAUUGGUUGGGAUUGAGGAACUCAGCAUGCCGCAAGGCCGGGUUUUAACCACGUUCAUGCUUAGGAUGCUGGCAUAAUGGCUUUAAUCGACCC